AGCAGCCGCGGUAAUUCCAGCUCCAAUAGCGUAUAUUAAAGUUGUUGCAGUUAAAAAGCUCGUAGUUGAAUUUCGGGGUUUAUCCGUCGGUCGGGCUUUUGGGUCUGUACUGGCGUGAUGGAUUCCUACCUUCUGAAUAACCGGCAUGUCAUUAAUUUGGUGCGCCGGGGAAGCAGGACUGUUACCUUGAAAAAUUAGAGUGCUUAAAGCAGGCUUAUGCCUGAAUACAUUAGCAUGGAAUAAUGAAAUAGGACGGCAUGGUUCUAUUUUGUUGGUUUCUAGGAUCACCGUAAUGAUUAAUGGGGAUAGUUGGGGGCAUUAGUAUUCAAUUGUCAGAGGUGAAAUUCUUGGAUUUAUUGAAGACUAACUUCUGCGAAAGCAUUUGCCAAGGAUGUUUUCAUUAAUCAAGAACGAAAGUUAGGGGAUCGAAGACGAUCAGAUACCGUCGUA
RNAcentral lists this ribosomal RNA (450 nucleotides) under uncultured Acaulospora. RNAcentral describes it as "SSU rRNA". It matches the Rfam family "Eukaryotic small subunit ribosomal RNA", at positions 569 to 1022 of the family's 1831-position model. Lineage: Eukaryota; Fungi; Glomeromycota; Glomeromycetes; Diversisporales; Acaulosporaceae. The record is from RNAcentral.